Molecule: ribosomal RNA, 483 nt
Filed under: uncultured bacterium
Lineage: Bacteria
Description: partial 16S ribosomal RNA
Rfam family: Bacterial small subunit ribosomal RNA
Source: RNAcentral
AUUGAACGCUGGCGGCAUGCUUUACACAUGCAAGUCGAACGGCAGCGCGGGCUUCGGCCUGGCGGCGAGUGGCGAACGGGUGAGUAAUACAUCGGAACGUGCCCAUUGGGGGGGAUAGCCCGGCGAAAAGCGGGUUAAUUCCCCCUACCGCCUGGGGGUGGAAAGGGGGGAUCUUCGGACCUCCCGCUAUUGGAUCGGCCGAUGGCCGAUUAGCUAGUUGGUGGGGUAAAGGCCUACCAAGGCGACGAUCUGUAGCUGGUCUGAGAGGACGACCAGCCACACUGGGACUGAGACACGGCCCAGACUCCUACGGGAGGCAGCAGUGGUGAAUUUUGGACAAUGGGCGAAAGCCUGAUCCAGCAAUGCCGCGUGUGUGAUGAAGGCCUUCGGGUUGUAAAGCACUUUUGGCGGGAACGAAAAGGACUGUGCCAAUACCACGGUUCGAUGACGGUACCCGCAGAAUAAGCACCGGCUAACUACGUG